ACUCAAAGGAAUAGACGGGGGCCCGCACAAGCGGUGGAGCAUGUGGUUUAAUUCGACGCAACGCGAAGAACCUUACCAGCUCUUGACAUGCCCGGUAUGGGGUUGAGAAAUCAGCUCCUUCAGUUCGGCUGGCCGGUGCACAGGUGCUGCAUGGCUGUCGUCAGCUCGUGUCGUGAGAUGUUGGGUUAAGUCCCGCAACGAGCGCAACCCUCACCUUUAGUUGCCAUCAGGUUAAGCUGGGCACUCUAAAGGAACUGCCGGUGACAAGCCGGAGGAAGGCGGGGAUGACGUCAAGUCCUCAUGGCCUUUAUGGGCUGGGCUACACACGUGCUACAAUGGCGGUGACAGUGGGACGCGAAGGGGCAACCCUUGGCCAAUCUCAAAAAGCCGUCUCAGUUCGGAUUGUUCUCUGCAACUCGAGAGCAUGAAGCUGGAAUCGCUAGUAAUCGCGGAUCAGCACGCCGCGGUGAAUACGUUCCCGGGCCUUGCACACACCGCCCGU
This 502-nucleotide ribosomal RNA is filed under the name uncultured bacterium. Its description in RNAcentral is "partial 16S ribosomal RNA". It matches the Rfam family "Bacterial small subunit ribosomal RNA", at positions 899 to 1397 of the family's 1533-position model. The record is from RNAcentral.